RNAcentral lists this ribosomal RNA (253 nucleotides) under uncultured bacterium. RNAcentral describes it as "partial 16S ribosomal RNA". It matches the Rfam family "Bacterial small subunit ribosomal RNA", at positions 524 to 776 of the family's 1533-position model. The record is from RNAcentral.
UACGAAGGGUGCAAGCGUUACUCGGAAUUACUGGGCGUAAAGCGUGCGUAGGUGGUUUGUUAAGUCUGUUGUGAAAUCCCCGGGCUUAACCUGGGAAUGGCAUUCGGGACUGCAAGGCUGGAGUGCGGCAGAGGAGACUGGAAUUCCUGGUGUAGCAGUGAAAUGCGUAGAUAUCAGGAGGAACACCGAUGGCGAAGGCAGGUCUCUGGGCUGACACUGACGCUCAUGCACGAAAGCGUGGGGAGCAAACAGG